This is a non-coding RNA of Arachis ipaensis, 1168 nucleotides long. NCBI's taxonomy places the organism in Eukaryota, Viridiplantae, Streptophyta, Magnoliopsida, Fabales, Fabaceae. The record is from RefSeq and is a predicted model, not a curated record.
AAACUUUAUUGCACCCUCUAUAUAUGUAAUCAAUCGUGCUACGUUACCAAGAUGAAAUCUGCCAAUAUCUACCAAUGAUUAUUGGGCUGGUUCACAAAGCCCACUUAUUAAAAAAAACCACAUCCUAAAUUAACCCAGGUUAAUCCCAAAGCCACUUGUUUACUCCUCUUACCCUAAUUUACCAUCUCUUCACUUGGUGUUACCGUUGAGACACACCCCAUUCCCCAACUCCACUUUCAGCGCCGCAAAGGACGCCGGAUUGCAGUUGUCGCCUGUCGCCUUUGUCAACGGAGUCAAUGCCGCCAGGAAACAAUACGCCGCCACUAACAAGAACGGUCCCACAGUCGCCCAAGUGACCCUGGCACCGCUGCAUGUUGAUGUCAGAUGGGCUUUGAAGACGCAUCCACACGUGACACCUUCAACGCGACGCCCUUUCGUAGCUCCGCCUCGAGACACGCUGCAGCGGGACUCUUCCGACCUCAUGGAGACAAUAGCAUCCCCAAAACUCUUUGCCCGCCGCAUCGCCAACCUAGCGUCGCUCCCUGUCUCGAGUUCGAGCCUGCCUCGUAGUGUGUCUUCCCUCCGACACCGGCGCAACAAAAGGAUAUCAUGAAGUUAUACAGAUUGGAAAUAAUCCUGGACAUCAUCCCAUGUCACAAAAAUACAUCCUUUGGAGAUGCCUUGCAUGCCCUUGACAGCCGUGCUCAACCUCCUAUGCGCCGCAACUAACCAAGGAACAAACGUAUGGAGGUUAGGACACCAUUCACAGCACCUGAUACAAAGAGCAUUCUACAGCGAGUUGGAGGAAAGCCGAAGAAAAGGAUAACCAGAAGGAGAUAAACAUUGGAAGAAAAAGGCUCCAUGUUACAUCUGUGUUUACCUUGAGCGGGAAUAUCCUCACAUCCUAUGCUAUAUUUUUGUUGGGAUUAGAUAUUUUACUUGUCUUACACAAUGUGACUAGUUCUUUUGGAUUCCUAUGCUGUUUACGGGUAGUUACACUUUGAACCUUGAUGUACUUAAUUGGCAAAUUGAACGAUAAUGCAUGUCCUGUAGAUAUGAAUUCUGUCUUUUGCACAUUGGUUUCGGAUAAUUUUGUGCACAGGCUAAACAACUUCGGCGUUUUGAAGUAUUUUUAUUGCCAGUGAAUAAACCUAUCGAGGUUCCUAGA